Molecule: small nuclear RNA, 65 nt
Filed under: Carlito syrichta (Philippine tarsier)
Lineage: Eukaryota; Metazoa; Chordata; Mammalia; Primates; Tarsiidae
Description: U7 small nuclear RNA (ENSTSYG00000024232.2)
Rfam family: U7 small nuclear RNA
About the family: Animal histone pre-mRNAs are spliced by a different mechanism than nuclear pre-mRNAs and self-splicing introns. This processing involves the U7 snRNP, which contains only one RNA species: U7. The 5' end of U7 RNA is thought to base-pair to a conserved spacer element downstream of the cleavage site in histone pre-mRNA.
Source: Rfam by way of RNAcentral
CAAUGUUACAGCUCUCUUAGAAUUUGUCUGGCAGGUUUACUACCAGUUUUCCCUGGAAAGUCCCU